This is a small nuclear RNA of Neogale vison (American mink), 109 nucleotides long. The record is from Ensembl. NCBI's taxonomy places the organism in Eukaryota, Metazoa, Chordata, Mammalia, Carnivora, Mustelidae.
GUGCUCGCUUCAGCAGCACAUAUACUAAAAUUGGAACGAUACAGAGAAGAUUAGCAUGGCCCCUGCGCAAGAAAACAUACACUAAAAGUAUGAGAACGAAAAUGAUUCU